UUUAACCUGCAAGUCGAACGGAAACGAAAAUAGCUUGCUAUUUGGCGUCGAGUGGCGAACGGGUGAGUAACGCGUAGGAAUCUACCCAGUAGAGGGGGAUAGCCCGAAGAAAUUCGGAUUAAUACCGCAUAAUCUCUACGGAGUAAAGAAGGCCUCUUUACAAUGCUUUUACUAUUGGAUGAGCCUGCGUUAGAUUAGUUAGUUGGUAGGGUAAAAGCCUACCAAGGCGACGAUCUAUAGCUGGUUUUACGAGAAUGAUCAGCCACACUGGAACUGAGACACGGUCCAGACUCCUACGGGAGGCAGCAGUGAAGAAUAUUGGACAAUGGGGGAAACCCUGAUCCAGCAAUGUUGCGUGUGUGAAGAAGGUCCGAGGAUUGUAAAGCACUUUCAGUAAGCAAGAAAAAUGUAAAUCUAAUAGAUUUGCAUGUUGACCACUUAUAGAAGAAGCACCGGCUAACUCCGUGCCAGCAGCCGCGGUAAUACGGAGGGUGCGAGCGUUAAUCGGAAUUACUGGGCGUAAAGGGUAAGUAGGCGGUUUAUAAAGUCACAUGUGAAAGCCCUAGGGCUUACC
RNAcentral lists this ribosomal RNA (574 nucleotides) under uncultured bacterium. RNAcentral's name for it is "bacterial SSU rRNA". It matches the Rfam family "Bacterial small subunit ribosomal RNA", at positions 49 to 614 of the family's 1533-position model. The record is from RNAcentral.